This 1077-nucleotide long non-coding RNA is filed under the name Homo sapiens (human). Its description in RNAcentral is "long intergenic non-protein coding RNA 293". The record is from RNAcentral. Lineage: Eukaryota; Metazoa; Chordata; Mammalia; Primates; Hominidae.
AGUCCUUCCCACAGAGAGCGGUUUGAUAUGUCACUGAAACCAGCAUCCAGGUGGUAUUGCUCCAUAUGCCUGAGACCCUAACAAAAGCCUAAUUACAACUCAUAUGCCUGGAGCCAGGACAUGUGCAGGAUGGUGAUGUAACUUUCCUCUCUGGAAUGGGUCCUGCACAAAGGAAUGAUAGUAACAUAUUGCAAAGCCAGACACACAGCCAUGAUGGUCCAAGUUAUAUUGGGAUUCAGCCAAUAGAAGAUAUUUUGCCUGUCAUCCCUAAGCUUAGGACAAUAGGGUCCUGCCCACAAGAAAGAUUGUGACAUCUCACUGGACAAGCACCCACCCAGACUCUGCCAAGAGAGGGGAUUAUUACAUAUUGCAGAGCCCAGCACCUAGGUGGAGUGACUCUCAUCUUUUUCUUCUACCCCGUAUAUAGCCAGCUUGGUGACCUACUAUUUGAGUCUAUACCCAGGCCCAGACCACAGAUGAAAUUGUGCAAUAUGUGGAACAAACACCUAAACAAUAUAUAACACCUUCCUUGGCUCUGUCUACAAAGGGCACUUUUAUAUAUCACUGGGACCAUCAACCAGGUGAUGUUGUGCCAUAUAACUGAGACCGUAUCAAAAGCCUAAUAACAAGACGUAUGUCUGGAGCCCCGAUAUGCACAGGAUGGUGAUAUAACCCUCUUCUCUGGAAUGGGCCCCACACAAAGGAAGGAUAGUGACAUAUUGCAAGCCCAGGCACACAGGCCCAGAGCACAGUUGAAAUUGUGACAUAUGUACACCAAGCAACCAAGCAAUGUAUAACACCUCAUUUGGCAAUGGAAUCGAGGGCACUUUUACAUAUCACUGAGACCAGCGCCCAGCUGAUGUGAAAUAUUGGCCUGAACCCUGCCUACAAAAGCAUUGUGGCUUUUAUCUAGCUCCAUUACAUAAGUGAUGUGACUUCCUUCUACUGCCUUGGCCCUGCACUUAUGGUGAAUCGUGACACAAAAUUGGGUAGAGCAACCAGGUGAUGUGACCCUUUUUUUUUUGGCGGGGGGCCAGUCUGUCAAUAGGAAGCUUUAACAUAUCACUUGGCUCAGCA